This 1328-nucleotide unclassified non-coding RNA is filed under the name Melitaea cinxia (Glanville fritillary). Its description in RNAcentral is "misc RNA ENSMCXG00005006538.1". The record is from RNAcentral. Lineage: Eukaryota; Metazoa; Arthropoda; Insecta; Lepidoptera; Nymphalidae.
AUUACAUUAUUAUGCAAACACUUCGUACGACGAGAAGAAGUAUGGGAAAGAGAGUUUUAAAUGUCAAAUCACUGUGUUAUAUAGCUAACGUUCUGUCACACCACUGAUUGUCUAUUGCACUCACAGUUUAUAAACACUUCACACCGAUGACCGGUAAAUUAAGUGCGGACCACACGAUGUGAACCAAGAGUUGCAACGCAAGAUGUGAGACGUUCCUUAACAUACUCCCCCCGUUGAAGAAUCCAGAUUCUUCAACUCUGUGUCUUCAUCGUUGAGUAAGGGGGGGUGGCGAACCAGAGGGCGGCGAUAACAGCCUGUAGUGGGCCGAUCGCGAGAGCUCCCGUCUGGCCCCGGAUAUAGUCUGGCUACUGGCAUCCAGUAAUCCAAUAUAAAGGUGGCAGGUCUCCAACCUUUAGCCUUGUCUUGCUUGUCUUCAUUUUGUUGUUUGAUUUACUUGAGACGUGCGUAGCGUUUUAAUUGUGGUUCCCUUUCAUUCUCCAAGGCGCGAGUCGGCAGCUCAUUUAGUAGUCUUCUGAUUAAGAAGUGCCCUGGGGAAAGGAAAGGAAAUCGUCAAGGGAACAUGGAUAAUGGGCGCAAGGGACGACUAUUCAGAAUAGCCUCCACUUGUGCAAACAAAGUUAGAAUUGCCUUAAAAGUUAAAAUUUCUUCAAAAAUUAAAUGAGAACUCCCAUGACUCGUUUAUAUAUGUUUGUUUGCGUGAUGUAUUGUUGAUAUGAUGUUUUACCGGUCACACCGGCCUCCCAUAUGUCGCCGAAGUGAGGAGCGUAAGACAGAAUGAGUUUAAAUUUUGAUGCCUUGCUGAGCUGUAAAUUCAGUUAACGCGAUGUUUUGUAUAUCGCAUGAUGACAAAAAUAAGAAGGAUCUGGUAAACUAACUGUAGAUUCCGACAGAUGGCCUAAAUUUUGAUAUUCUCUUAUGAAGUGUAUAUAUUGAGAUUUUAAUGAAGUAUAUUUUUUGAAACGUUUUUCUAAAUUGAAUAAUCGCCUUUUUGCUAAGUUAUAUGUUUCACCUAGACAAUCAGGUGAAUUGCGUAAUGGAAGUCUGACACUAGACCUGCCAGAAGGAAGCCGUGAAGUGUGAGACCGAAAGUGGUUCUCACAGGCUAAUUCCUUUUCGCUUUGAAUUGUUUUCUGGUGAAGCUCUUCUAGCUUCCUAAAUUUUGUUAUUAAAUUGUUAAUUUUGUUUUUCUUUGGGAGGUUAUCAUUGAUAACUGAAUUAUUGCAAAAUACUUGUUUAGCUUGAUAUGAAAUAGGACCACCAAUCAACCAACCGAAACUGGAAUAUUGUAAUGUAGGCUUGUUUGCACC